AACGCGAAGAACCUUACCAGGACUUGACAUGGGGAGGACGCAGUCAGAGAUGGCUGUUCCCGCAAGGGCCUCCUGCACAGGUGCUGCAUGGCUGUCGUCAGCUCGUGUCGUGAGAUGUUGGGUUAAGUCCCGCAACGAGCGCAACCCUUGUCUCAUGUUGCCAGCGGGUAAUGCCGGGGACUCGUGAGAGACUGCCGGGGUCAACUCGGAGGAAGGUGGGGAUGACGUCAAGUCAUCAUGCCCCUUAUGUCCAGGGCUUCACACAUGCUACAAUGGCCGGUACAAAGGGCUGCGAUGCCGUGAGGUUAAGCGAAUCCUUUAAAGCCGGUCUCAGUUCGGAUCGGGGUCUGCAACUCGACCCCGUGAAGUCGGAGUCGCUAGUAAUCGCAGAUCAGCAACGCUGCGGUGAAUACGUUCCCGGGCCUUGUACACACCGCGCAUA
This 442-nucleotide ribosomal RNA is filed under the name uncultured bacterium. RNAcentral describes it as "bacterial SSU rRNA". It matches the Rfam family "Bacterial small subunit ribosomal RNA", at positions 958 to 1398 of the family's 1533-position model. The record is from RNAcentral.